AUGGAGAGAAUAGUAAACAAAAAGGUGACAAUGGCUAAGGCCAACGUGAUGUUAAUGAAGGAGCGAUUGAAGAAGAUGGCUGAACAAGAAAAGAUGGUGCCAAAGGAUAUGAUAGUCUUCAUGGAGCAGAAUUGCCCUCAGCUGAUGAUUUGUGUGUCGUGCGUGUUCUCGUCCUUACCAGCACCUGGUAUGGAAGGAGGGGAUGAGAUUGCCAAUGUCGAAAUUAUGGUCAGAGAGGGGCCAUGUCCCCAUGCCGUGGAAGCUAGUGAACGGGAUGGCAGAGGCAAUGAGUUAAAUCAUACUGUAUCUGGUCCGGGCGAGCAGACCGAUGGCUCAUACAGAGAGAGUAGUUACUUUGGUGAAUAUAAUGCGAACAUCUCCAACAAAGAAGCAAAUAGGAUGCUGGUGAGUGCGAACAUGGAGGCUUCAGCUGAAGGGGGGAAAGGCAUUGAUGCUAAGGCACCAGCACGGCCAACCUGCUCUAUCUGCAUGGAACCGUGGACCUCCACAGACGAGCAUCACAUCUGUUGUAUUCCUUGUGGGCAUGUCUACGGCUGGUCGUGCCUAAUAAGGUGGCUCAGGGAUCAGCUUUCAAGGAAUGAGAAUCUCAAGGAAGUGCAUGAGUAUUAUGAAGCUAAGUUGGCUGAGUUUGAGGCAUCGAGGGAAGAAUGUAUGCUAUUUGCAAAAUAUCAUUCUCAGUAUGAUCUGCUAAGUGCACAAGCGAAGUUUCGGGAUGAGCUGCGUGCACUAAUUAGCCCUGAAAUUUCUGAGGUUGAAAGAGUGAUGAUGGAACACGUGGCAAAGGCUAACGGUAGCUUGGUGUUGAUGAAGGAGCAGAUGAAGAAGAUGGCUGAAGAAGACACGGACUCUGGUUUGACCUCAUCAUUUGUCAAGAACAUGGCAGCUGGCGCUAGGGUCAGCAAGUCUUCCUGUGUGGAGAUGUCGUGUGAACACUAA
RNAcentral lists this ribosomal RNA (957 nucleotides) under Triticum aestivum (bread wheat). Its description in RNAcentral is "partial small subunit ribosomal RNA". Lineage: Eukaryota; Viridiplantae; Streptophyta; Magnoliopsida; Poales; Poaceae. The record is from RNAcentral.